CAGCAGCCACGGGAAUACGAAGGGUGCAAGCGUUACUCGGAAUUACUGGGCGUAAAGCGUGCGUAGGUGGUGGUUUAAGUCCGUUGUGAAAGCCCUGGGCUCAACCUGGGAAUUGCAGUGGAUACUGGAUCACUAGAGUGUGGUAGAGGAUAGUGGAAUUUCCGGUGUAGCAGUGAAAUGCGUAGAGAUCGGAAGGAACAUCUGUGGCGAAGGCGACUAUCUGGGCCAACACUGACACUGAGGCACGAAAGCGUGGGGAGCAAACAGGAUUAGAUACCCGAGUAGUCCCUGUCUCUUAUAC
RNAcentral lists this ribosomal RNA (301 nucleotides) under uncultured bacterium. RNAcentral's name for it is "partial 16S ribosomal RNA". It matches the Rfam family "Bacterial small subunit ribosomal RNA", at positions 509 to 807 of the family's 1533-position model. The record is from RNAcentral.